UACGUAGGGUGCAAGCGUUAAUCGGAAUUACUGGGCGUAAAGCAUGCGCAGGCGGUUAUGUAAGACAGAUGUGAAAUGCCCGGGCUUAACCUGGGAACUGCAUUUGUGACUGCAUGGCUAGAGUUUGGCAGAGGGGGGUAGAAUUCCACGUGUAGCAGUGAAAUGCGUAGAUAUGUGGAGGAACACCGAUGGCGAAGGCAGCCCCCUGGGUCAAGACUGACGCUCAUGCACGGAAGCGUGGGGAGCAAACAGG
RNAcentral lists this ribosomal RNA (253 nucleotides) under uncultured bacterium. RNAcentral describes it as "partial 16S ribosomal RNA". It matches the Rfam family "Bacterial small subunit ribosomal RNA", at positions 524 to 776 of the family's 1533-position model. The record is from RNAcentral.